GACGAACGCUGGCGGUCGUGCUUAACACAUGCAAGUCGAACGGUGAAGCCUUCGGGUGGAUCAGUGGCGAACGGGUGAGUAACACGUGAGCAAUCUGCCCUUGACUCUAGGAUAACUUCGGGAAACCGGAGCUAAUACCGGAUAUGACAUCUGGCCGCAUGGGUCUGGGUGUGGAAAGAUUUAUCGGUCAAGGAUGAGCUCGCGGCCUAUCAGCUUGUUGGUGGGGAAUGGCCCACCAAGGCGACGACGGGUAGCCGGCCUGAGAGGGCGACCGGCCACACUGGGACUGAGACACGGCCCAGACUCCUACGGGAGGCAGCAGUGGGGAAUAUUGCGCAAUGGGCGGAAGCCUGACGCAGCGACGCCGCGUGAGGGAUGAAGGCCU
RNAcentral lists this ribosomal RNA (385 nucleotides) under uncultured bacterium. RNAcentral describes it as "bacterial SSU rRNA". It matches the Rfam family "Bacterial small subunit ribosomal RNA", at positions 28 to 417 of the family's 1533-position model. The record is from RNAcentral.